Molecule: long non-coding RNA, 29804 nt
Filed under: Ananas comosus (pineapple)
Lineage: Eukaryota; Viridiplantae; Streptophyta; Magnoliopsida; Poales; Bromeliaceae
Description: long non-coding RNA (ACOM_LNC004178)
Source: RNAcentral
UAUAUAUAUAGAGUAGUGCUGCUGUGCUCUCAGGAGCACGGAGGCCAUUCUCCUGAGCCAUUUUCGAUGAUGGAGUUUCCAAAUCGACGAUUGGCUCCGUUAGACUUGAUCUAGCGUAUUUGAAGUUUCUAAAAAAUAAUUUUGCAAUUUUUCGAUAUCAUUUACCUAGCAAUCGAAAGGAUUCAAAAUCAAUAAUUUUUAACGGCUGAAAAUAAAAAUCCUAUAAAAAAAUGGUGAUAUAGCACUAAAAUUUUCGAUCAGAUAUUGAUUUUGUUGUAGAUAGUAUAAAAAAUUUUGUAUCAAAAUUUCAACUGAUUUGAAUACUUCUACACCGUUAAACUUGAAAACGGCAGAUAUCAACCAUUAAAAAUUAUGAAUUUUGAAUCCUUUCGAUCACUAGGUAAAUGAUAUCAAAAAAUCGCAAAAAAUUAUUUUCUAAAAACUUCAAAUGUGCUAGAUCAAAUCUAAUGGAGCCGAUCGUCGAUUCGAAAAUUUCAUCAUCGAAAACGGCUCAGGAGCAUGGAGGCCUCCGUGCUCCUGAGAGCACAGCAGCCCUACACAGGUGGUGCAAUAUGUGGGACACUAUGACAAUAAUAAUAUGUAUAUCUCUAUAGGAAAUUUUGAUCAUGUACAUAAUUAUGUUGUAUAACCCAUAUGUAGUUUAUUAAUCCCAAGAUAUCAAUUAACCUAAUUCAACCUCAUUCAACCCUCACUCAGGGUCUGGUCAAGUUCUCAAUUAAUUGCUCGUCUCCACUGACACAACAGAAUCUACGAUCCUAUUUGACUUUGUCCGUAUAAUUAGUGCACGUACAUGCAUUUUAAUGAUAGUAAUCCAUGCAUAUAUAUAUAUAUAUAUAUAUAUAUAUAUAUAUAUAUAUAUAUAGAGAGAGAGAGAGAGAGAGAGAGUAGGGCUACUAUACUAUUAUGAGUAUAGAACCCUUAGUACUCAUAAGUUGUUUUCAAUGUUAGGGUUUUCGAAUCAACGAUCCACGCCGUUAAACAUGAUCUAGAAUAUUUGAAACUUCUAGAAAAUAAAUUUCGUAAUUUUUCGAAAUCAUUAUAAAGUCCAUCAAGCGGGUAUAAAAUAAACGGUCAAAAUCGAACUACAAUAUCCUAAAAAUGGAUGAUCGGAUCUUUCAAUUUAAGAUCGGAGUUAUUGAUCUUUAUUUAGGUAGUGAAUAGAAUUUUCUAUCAAAACUUCAACCCAUUCCAAUUCUUUUACACCGUUAAACUAGCAAAUAUUUCAUACCGGCCGUUAAAAAUUGUCAAUUUUAUGAGCUUUUGAUCGUAGGGUAAAUGAUAUCGAAAAAUUAUAAAAUUUAAUUUUUAUAAGUUUUAAAUGCUCUAAAUAAUGUUUAACGGUAUGGAUCGUCGAUUCGAAAGCUCGAUCAUCGAAAACAACUUAUGAGUACGAAGUCGAACGUACUUAUAAGAGUAUAGUAGCCGGACUCUAUAUACAUAUUAUAUAAUGGAUUUGUGCAAUAAACAUAGUAGUAUUCAGUGUAACAGCAAAAAAGAACAAAUUUUAUUAACCAAGAGCCACUAAUAAUAAAUAGUAAUAUUUUAUGUGCGUUGGACUUUUCUAAUAGAAUCCAAUUUCCAUCUUGAUUGGGCUAUGUGAUUCAUCAUGUUACUGAAUCUCAAAAUUGCGUUUAUUAUAGAAGUUUUUUGCUGAUACUUUUGUGGACAAUGGAUAUAAUUAAUAGGGCCCAUAAGAAAGAAUAAUAACACGUUUUUUAUUCUUUUUUUUUUUUUUUUUUUUUAUAUAUAUAUAUAAUAUAUAUUAUAUAUUAUAUAUAUAUAUAUAUAUAUAAAUUUAUGUGAGAAUUCGAAUAAGUUGAAUUUUUGAUAGAACAAUGAUACACAAUUGUUUGGUGUUACAAAAAGAAGUUUGCAUGCAUUAAUUUGCAAUUGCAUACCUAAUACGGUAAAUGUAGUGUAUUCUACGUAGUUUCUUGAAUAGGAAACACAUGAAAUAAAUUGUGUUUGCAGUGAAAUAGUCAAUAAUGUUUAGACACCAUUAUAUAUGUAUAUAUAUAUAUAUAUAUAGGGUCAAAUUUUAACGGAGGUAAAAAUGACUACUAUUUUAUAAUACGUCGAGAAAAUGUCUUUAAGAAUUAUAAGUUAUUAACACAGACAUUUAAGUUUCCUCCACUUGCCAAAAAAAAAAAAAAAAAAAAAGAAUAAAAACGUGUUAUUAUUCUUUCUUAUGGCCCUAUAAUUAUAUCCAUUGUCCACAAAAGUAUCAGCAAAAAACUUCUAUAAUAAACGCAAUUUGAGAUUCAAGUAACAUGAUGAAUCACAUAGCCAAUCAAGAUGGAAAUUGGAUUCUAUUAGAAAAGUCCAACGCCACAAAAAUAUUACUAUUUAUUAUUAGUGCUCUUGGUAAUAAAAUUUGUUCUUUUUUCUGUUUACACUGAAUACUACUAUGUUUAUUGCACAAAUCCAUUAUAUAAAUGUAUAUUAGAGUCCGGCUACUAUACUCUUAUAAGUAACGUUCGACUUCGUACUCAUAAGUUGUUUUCGAUGAUCGAGCUUUCGAAUCGACGAUCCAUACCGUUAAACAUUAUUUAGAGCAUUUAAAACUUAUAAAAAUUAAAUUUAUAAUUUUUCGAUAUCAUUUACCCUACGAUCAAAAGCUCAUAAAAUGACAAUUUUUAACGCCGGAUGAAAUAUUUGCUAGUUUAACGGUGUAAAAGAAUUGGAAUGGGUUGAAGUUUUGAUAGAAAUUCUAUUCACUACCUAAAUAAAGAUCAAUAACUCCGAUCUUAAAUUGAAAGAUCCGAUCAUCCAUUUUUAGGAUAUUGUUCGAUUUGACCGUUUAUUUUACCCGCUUGAAUGGACUUUAUAAUGAUUCGAAAAAUACGAAGAUUAUUUUUAGAAGUUUCAAAUAUCUUAGAUCUCAUGUUUAACGGCGUGGAUCGGUUGAUUCGAAACGCCUAACAUUGAAAACACUUAUGAGUACUAAGGGUUCUAUUACUAUAAUAGUAUAGUAGCCCUACUCUCUCUCUCUCUCUCUCUCUCUAUAUAUAUAUAUAUAUAUAUAUAUAUAUAAUUGAGCUCCUAUGCUUUUAAAAAGUACAAAGUCAUUGGUGCUUGUAAGUUUUCGGCCCUUGGAUUAACAGAUGUGCGUUAGAGAUGAUGUGGGCCCCCUAGGGUUGAUGGGUGGUGGUUGAAUAGUUAUAUCUAACGGGUAAAAAUGAUCAAAGGAUAGAUCUAACGGUAAAAAUUUACAAGUACCCAAAUGCUUGGUACUUUUACAGCAUCAUAGCCGGACUCUAUUAUAUAUAUAUAUAUAUAUAUAUAUAUAUAUAUAUAUGGAGUAGAGCUAGAAUACUUGUAAAGUAUAACCCAAGUAAUACUUGUGUGUUUUUAGCCCUUGGAUGGAGAGAUUGAGGUUGAGAUGAUGGUGGUGUCGUGAUGGAGUGGGUAGGUGGAAUAGUGUUUGAUCCAAGGACUAUUAGUAAUUAAAAGUAGAUGGCUAAAACCACACAAGUAUCACUUGGUGAUACUUGUAAAAGUAUUCUAGCCCCACUAUAUAUAUAUAUAUAUAUAGUAUUAUAUAUGCAUGGAUUACUAUCAUUAAAAUGCUAUGUACGUGCACUAAUUAUACGGACAAAGUCAAAUAGGAUCGUAGAAUUCUGUGUGUCAGUGGAGAACGAGCAAUUAAUUGAGAACUUGACCAAGACCCUGAGUGAGGUUGAAUGAGGUUAAUUGAGGUUAAUUGAUAUCUUGGAUUAAUAAACUACAGUAUGGGUUAUACAACAUAUUAUGUACAUGAUCAAAAUUUCCUAUAGAGAUAUACAUAUUAUUAUUGUCAAUAGUGUCCCACAUAUGCGACCACCUGUGUAGGCUGCUGUGCUCUCAGGAGCACGGAGGCCUCCAUGCUCCUGAGCCGUUUUCGAUGAUGAAAAUUUUCGAAUCGACGAUCGGCUCCAUUAGAUUUGAUCUAGCACAUUUGAAGUUUUUAGAAUAAUAAUUUUUUGGCGAUUUUUUGAUAUCAUUUACCUAGUGAUCGAAAGGAUUCAAAAUUCAUAAUUUUUAAUGGUUGAUAUCCUGCCGUUUUCAAGUUUAACGGCUGUAGAAGUAUUCAAAUCAGUUGAAAUUUGAUACAAAAUUUUAUACUAUCUACAACAAAAUCAUAUCUGAUCGAAAUUUUAGUGCUAAUUAUCACCAUUUUUUCUAAGGAUUUUUAUUUUCAGCCGUUAAAAUUAUUGCAUUUGAAAUCCUUUCUCAAAAUUAUAAAAAAUGUCAAAUUUUUAUUAAUUCACCUAGAUUCUCUAUCCCAUUUCGAUUGUAGGUAAAUAUAUCAAAAAUCUGACAAUCUAUUUUAGAAACUUCAAAGUACGCUACGAUCAAGUCCCUAACGGAGCAAUCGCGACAUUGAAACUCCUCAUCGAAAUGCAGGAGAAUGGCUCCUGUCCUGAGAGCCAGCAGCCAACUCUAUAUAUAUUAUAUAUAUAUAAUAUAUAUAAUAUAUAUUUUCGUUUAUCGUCCAAUCUUCUAGAACACAAAUAAAUGAGAGUAUAUAUCCACUAAAAUUGCUAAUAUCCCCUUGAGGAUUUCUUGUCUCUUUUCGAGAAAUCAAAAUUCUUCAGCCAAACACUCCCGUAGGUUAUGUUUAGAUUCAAUCUAGGUCGACUACAAAGCCAUAAAAUAAGAUAAAAACAUAUGAACUAACUGAAUUUUAUGUUUAUUUGAAGUAACUAUCUAAUCUUAAAAAAAGUUGAUUUUACUACAUAAUGUUUCGAUUUAUUUUUGAUUCAUUUUCAAAUUCUUUUUUUUUUUCAUUAUUUAGGUGCAUCCACACAUAUAUUCCUACACCGAUACCCAUUUUGAAUUUAAUAUUCAAUCACCUGCAGUUUUAUAUUAAAAUAUAAAAUGGUUGGAAUAAAUCAAAAGAAAUGAAUAAAAGUAUGUGCACAAUGUUCGGGAUGAACUACGCUGGAUAAUAAUGUUUUAGAACCAAAUAAAAAAACUAAAAACAUGGAUAGUGAAAAAUCAAAAUUUCUAAGCUUGAAUAGUUAUUUUUCUUCUUUUUUUUUUUUGAGAGAGAUAGGUAACACGCUACCCGCUUCGUUUAUUUCAUUUAGAAAUAAACUUAGCUGAAAUGUGAAUAACUAGUCAACUAAGGAUUCGAACUUGGGUUUCGAAUAUCAACCACCUAAACUGUUUGCCAGUUGCUCUAGGGACAGUCGUUGAAUAGUUAUUUCAACUUACUAAAAAGUUAUUUUACUUACGUACACAUAUCGCCUCCUAGAAAGUACUAUAAUGCAUACAGAUAUAGUAAUUCAGGUACGAAAGUUGCAUCACAGUGGCAACUUCAUUUCGCUCGCAAUGAAUCGUAAUCGUCAUUAUUUCAAUAUACUACUUCUAUCUUUUNNNNNNNNNNNNNNNNNNNNNNNNNUAUAUAUAUAUAUAUAUAUAAUUUUCUAUAUAUAUAAUUCUCAGCCGUUUUUGGUAACACCAAACACUGUCGUUCAAUUUGUGAGAAUUAUAUAUAUAUAAUUCUCACAAAUUUUCUCACAUAAAUUAUAUAUAUAUAUAUAAUGAGUCUGGCUGUAGUGCUUUUAAUAACACCAAACACUUGGUGUUAUCAAAUUUUUUACUAUUAGAUCUUUCCCUUUGACUAAUAACACCCUUUAAAUCAUAUUCAUCCAUUAAAUUUCAAAGGAUCACUAUCAUCCUAACCCUUCAAAUCUUUAUCCAAAGGCCAAAAACCUACGAACAUCAAUAACUUUGUGCCGCUAGAAACAUUCUAGCCCAAUUCUAUGUAUAAUCCUAUUAUAGUGCUUCUAAUAGCACCAAACACUUUCUACUAUCAAAUUUUUCACAAUAAGAUCAGAUUUUUUUACCAAUUCCACAGCUAUAAAAACAAAUAGCGAAAUAAAAAUAAAUUUUACCAAAUGUUAAUUAUAUAAAAUUUUAUUUCAAUCUGAACUUUACCUUCGCUAAAUCAAACAUAAAAGAUGGAUGGGGUGAUCUUUCAUUAGGGAGAGUCCCCGCCAAAUCUCUUCUCGUUUUGUUUUGUUUUGUUGUUUUAAUCCUCUCUCUUAAAGGGCCAAAAUGGGCCCACGCUUCAAUGGGCCAAGGAUUCUCUGGGCCUAGUAUUAGUUGUAGAUCACCACUUCUACUACAUAUUAAUACCACUGUCGACCUCUCUUUUUCUCUCUCUCUCUCUCUCUAUCUCUCUCUCCUCUCCCUCUCUCUCCAAAACCGUGCUCUUGUUUAUGUGAGAAGGGGAGUGAACUGCUUCUUCUUCUAUUCACGAAUCGUUUAAGUUUUCGAUCUGAAACCCUUUUUUGAUUUGGAUUACUGCUUGUGAUAAUAGGGAGUGGAGAUUUUGGAGAUAAGAUUUGCGAACCCUAAGUUUUCAAUCAUUAAUUUCUUCUUUUUUCUGUUUUUUUUUUUAUUUAAUUUGUAGAAUUUGAGAGAAUAUGGCUGAUGCUGCUGCUGCUGCUGCUUAUGAAGUGGUUUACUCAGGUUUAGUACUUUUUCUCUUAAAAUUAUCGUUAUUUUUUUUAGUGAAAAUGCAAAUUAGAUAAAUUCAUUGACACUCCCUCAACAUUGAGUCAUUUCCAUCAAUUAAACUGGGGGUUUUGAUCAAAUCUCGCGGUGAUGAUAUGAAACUCUGGGACUGCGGAUUUUGCUAAUUGUCGUCUAUUUUCACUAAAUUGAAGAAUCUCUGGUUCAAUUGCGGAAAACAAUUCAAAUCAAAAACGGCUAAAACUCGCCUUAAAAUAUAAAUCUAAAACAUUUGAUGUGAUCUAGGCCACUUAAAAGGUCUACAUUUCAAAAAUUAUAAUUGCUGUUCACAUUUUUCUUGUGCGACGAAUCACAGGUUUUUUAAUAUGAUUUUUGGUCACUAUUUGAUGCCUAAUUACUAGGUUUUCGUAUGUAAGCUCUUUCGAGGUUGUAGAUCAGAUUUAACAGUUUAUGUUUAAAAUUUCGAUUUUACAGUAUCGAGCAUAGAGUUUUCAGAUCCCCAUACUUAUAUCGGAGUUGAGGGGGUCUUCGUACAUUUUUUCCUUCACUUUUCUUUUUAGGUACAAUAUAUUUGCUAACGAAAAAUUACUUCAUUUAUAGGUCUAUUAUUUAGCAGACCGCGACCAGUAGUCUCGAAUCAGCUAUCCAGCAGGGUCAAGUUCCAGUUUGUCAAGGUUCUUUAAAUUAAGAAUUACUAUUUUCCAGUAAUUUUAACAUAUUUGAGCAUUGUUUUUUUUUAUUUUUGUUUUACGGAUUAUAUCUGUUGCAUCUGCAGAUUUCACGGCCGCUAGUUCGACAAUCAUUUCCAUUAUCCAGGCUCGUAAGAUGUGCGACAGCAGGAAGAAAUGGUCGUGAAAGGUUAUUAUCUGAUGAGGGGUUUGAACAUGAGCCUUUUUGGUCAAGUCUGGUGAAGGAUGCAGUCUGGUAUUCCAUAAGUUUCUGUUCUGUCUGUAGAUUUUGUUUUUUUUUUUUUUUUAAGUUGUAUAUUUGGCAAAAUUAAUUUUUUGGCUUCUUUGUUACCUGUAGGGGGUUUAGAGCGCUUGCUGUUUUUCUAGCUGAACAGCCAAGUCAGUUGAAAUACAUAGAGUGGCCAACCUUUCAAAGCACGGUAUGUUUGUCGUGACCAGGCUGUUUGGAUGCAUGAAAAUCUUGUUCGGAAAAUUUUGUCUGUUUAGACGAGGGUCUUGCAAUAAUUGAUAGAUAGGAGUACGAUUAAAAUGUAGUCUUCAAAUGACAUAAGAUGUGCGGCAUCUAUGUCAUUUUCUCAGAAAAAGAUAAAUCCCCCUAGUACAAAUUAUCACAUGUUUCGGCAUCCAAACAAGAAAAAAAUUAAAAAAAGAGUGGAAAAAGGAAAAUUUUUCAUUGAAUUUAACACUUUUUUUGUGAAUCUUCGUAAUUUCUAGCUGAACUAUUGCUGCCUUCCUAAGAUAUAUAGUUGGUGGAUGUAAUUUCAUGUCUUUUAUGACUUCAAUAACUGAAUGCAUCUCAUACUAAAUGGCCAUAAUACCUAAAUGGGAAUGCAUCACGCGCUGUUAAAUUUAUCAGAUUUACUGCUUGUCGGUAUACAUAUACAUUGUGCACAAAGUUGCCUUAUACUAUGUCAGUAAGUAUCAUAACGUAGAGUAGAUAUAUCCAUGCAACAUUUCUAAUUCAUCAGUAGCAGCUGAUACAUUUCUGAAAUCCUUUAGGAGUGGAAAAUUUUUUGGAUUAAUUUUAGUAGAGUAAAUUUAACAUUCUAAUAUAGACACUGCUGAUUGAAGCAGAAAUCAUAGGAGGCCUCGUUUUGUAUUUCUAAUGAUAUUUUAUUUUCAAAGUUGAGUUCUGGUGAGUAACUAUUGCUGCUUCAUGCUAGAAAUCAGAACUCGUAAGAGGUGAACCUGAUUUGUCCUGGUGAUUAUGUCAGUUCACAUACAGUUAAAUAUUAUUGGAAAGAGAUGAAUUCUGAAGAUUCUAUGCUUUUUCUUGAGUUUUUUUUCUUGCUAACGAUAGCAGGAAUUUCUCUAUGUACCAUCCUUUCUCUUUUAUCUUAUCUUAGCUUUUUCGAAGUAUAAUUCUAAUCCAUAUUUAACUUUGUUGAUCUGCCUCCUUUUGUUUUCAUUGCUACGGCUUUAAACAUCUUAUAUGCUCAUGAAUUACUGGCCUGCAAAAUUCUCUUUUUCUCCUGAUUCAAUCAAACAAUUCCGGUGAUUUGCAGUUGAAGACGGCUUGCCUCACUCUUAUCCUCGUAGCGUUGCUCAUCGUAGCUUUGUGCUCUAUUGAUUCAGCCCUCUGUUACAUAUUGGCUUGGCUUCUCAGAAAAUCUGCAUAAACUGUUGGUAUUGUAUCUCCCUCAUUUAAUACUUUGUAUUGCUUAGUGAUGCUUGUAGUUAAACGUCUUGCCUGAUUAGUUUGCUUGUAGUUUUAACAAGAUAAUUACUUGUAGUGAAAACCAUAACGCAUGCAAGUUUGGAAGUAAAUUUGUUGUAAUGAAUUUUAUGUGCCUAUGGGCUGAUCGUCACUUUAUGUAUUUAAACAGGUGGUGGAUCACAAUUUCGGAGGUUGGCUUUUCAUUGUGUGGCGCCUUAGGGACUGUUCCUCAUUUUGAUGCUUUUGCUGGAUAGUGAAUAGAGCAGUUUUUUUUUUUUUUUUUUUCAAAAAAAAAGAAAAGGGAUGAUCAGAGUUCAAUGGCUCAGUAUGAUUAUGUGUUUGUUUUGUAGGAUUUAUCCGAGUUGUUAUCUGUUGGCAAAAUGGACGUUACUUUGAUUGCAAAAAGAAUGUGUAAAUGAACCUCUAUAGGAGUAAAAGGAUUUUGGAGUUUAGUCUGAUUUCUAUAUUGACCAUCUAUAUGAUGCUGCAGAACAUGAAUGGUGGAAAGUUCGGUGUAAUAAAUAUGAAUGUUUUGCGGAACAUAACAAAAUGAAAUGAAUUACAAAUGCAAAAAUGAAAAUCAACUUGCACUCUGCCCCAUCAUUAGAAUUAUCAGAAGAAAUGAGAUUGUAUAACAUUAAAGAUUAGGUAUCCAACUGUAACAAUUGAAAGAUUGGAAAAGAUUGCAGAGCAAGAUCCACGAGGAAUACACAACAAGAUCACCAGUGUAUUGUGCCGCACAAUACACCGGACUACCUAAAACUUCCCUGUGGAGUAUAAAUCAUUCUUGAAGUGAAUAUGUUAUGAUUUUGCUGAUACAUAAGUUACAGAUGAACAAUAUAAGAACAAAAUAGCGGAAGAGCAGAAUCAUUCUACAAGGGAAAUACAGAGAGCGACAAGUGUUCCUAGUAACAAAGACAUCAACUGCAUUACAGUGCUUUUGAUAGUCGUCUUUCCAUCAUUCAUUUCUGGGAGUACUCCCGCGACUGCUAUGUAAACGAAGCCACCGGCGGUAAAUCCCUGAAGCGACAGUAGGAAUUUGUGUAAUUGAAUAACUUUUAAUAGUGAAAAUUCGAAAUAUAGGCUAUAGCUAAAGAUAGAGAAUAUUUACCUCAAUUAACGAGGAGUGCCCUGGAUCUUUUCCUAAAACCAAAGCCUGCAAAAUAGAAAAAAGAAAAAGAAAAAGGAACGCGCUACCUGCGUUGUUAUAUAUAUUUUUUAAAAUCAUUAGAGCGAGAAAUAAAUGGAAGUAGAUAACUCACUAGUGCAGUCCCAGCCAAUGCCACCAGUGCAGAAAGAAAAUUGAGAAACAGAGCUUUGGAGACCGUGAAUCCUGACCGCACCAAGAUUCCGAAAUCACCAACCUAGCCAAAAGGGCAAGUUAAUAACACCAAAUAGAUUAGCCCUUCCAUGUUACUCUCAUUACUGUACUAUUAUUGCAAGAUUUAUCUAAUAGAGUAUUAGUAAUACAAUUCAAGAUGACUGAAAUGAAAUGAAAUUUUGCACUAAAAGCAAGCACAAGAAACAUUUGCUACGAACAACUUGCUCAAGUUUUCAGAGAAGUGGUGGAGAAAAUAACCUCUUGAGGAAGUUCAUGAGCUAGCAGAAACAAUGUUCUAGACCACCCUCCAACCGAACCAUGCAGUAAAAAAGCGCUUCCCAGAGCCAUACCAUCGGUAAAAUUAUGCUGCAUUAUUCACACAUUUGAUCUCUGAAUUUUCAGAACAAUAUUGUAAACCUAAAAAUUCUGAAUGUUCAAUAUCACGCAAUAAAUCAUCACUCAACAAAGUAAGAAAAAUUUACGAUCAGCACUCACCACACCAUCAGAGAAAAGAUUAAGAUAGCCAAACACCAAGUUUGAGUGUGAAGAGUGAAGAUCUUUCUCAUGCUGUAAUGGCUUCUCCAUGGCAGUAGCAUUUGGAGCAUUUACAACUUCUCCAUCAGUUAUGUUGCCACCUCCAGAAGUGCUUCUCUGUUUUGAUGCUCGGAAAAAAGGGAAAAAAAACCUCAUCGUCAGAGUGAUUUGUCAGAUAUUAAACUCCUAAAAUCAAUUAAAAAAUAUAUGUUUUUGUCAUCAAGUGUAUGCAUGUAGGAACUAGACAGCAUAUCACAGCAUGCAUAUAGGAAAUAGACAACAUAUCAUAUUGAUGCGCUAAUUUCGGGUUUUUUGUAUAUCAUAAAGGGGGUAGAAAAAUGCUGCGUCAUAAUUGAGAACAGUUUCACGUGCAAAUCUGGGAUGUACCUUACGCAGAAGGGCUUUGUGUUCAGUAAGAUUGCCAUCAUUAACUUGUUCAUCAGCUUCAUCAACUGAAGCUUUUUGUGAUUGUGCAUCACCUAUGUCCCUAGUCUUGUCAUCAGUAUGCUUGGAAUUGAACUCAUCAUUGUUGUCAUCAUCAUCAUCGACUUUGUUGUGGUGUUUAUGGUGGUGGUGGUGGUGGUGGUGUCCAUGACUCAAAUGACUGGUCCCCUUUCUAGAAUUAUCUUCAACAUACCUUACAACCUUCUCAACAAGGAAAAAAAGUACAAUCCCAACUGCAAAAUGAAGGUUUAAAAUAGGAAACACGAUGAUUUUUUUCUUUUUCUUUUUUGAAGGGGAAACAAUGAAACUGUUACAAUGUAUAAUCAAGUAGAUCAUACAAGUAGUUAUCCAAUGGCAGAUAAUUGCAAAAAAGAAAAAAGAAAAAAAAAACUUUUUUGAAAUUUAACGAGUGAUGAAACAAGUGAUUCUUAUCACUGGUCAAAUUAAAAUUUAACAAGAUGGACAAAAGCAAAGAGAAGUAUAAUUAGCAUUGAUUUGGAAAGCUUCCCGUAUUUAACAGACAUGGAAGUGAUCCUUCUACAAUGGAACAAAACAAGCAUAGGAGGAAAAAUAGCAGCCGCAUGCUAACGUUCUCAUCGCUAAGGUACAUAAGCUACUGUUAGGCCUAGGCAGAGCUUCUGCAGAAGUGAUUUCUGUGUACAGUUGUUGGAAGAAAUACAAAAGAAGUAUAAUUGAUAGAGGCUCAGAAAUUCACUUUGGUUUUGACAGGAGGAAGUAUGGCCUUUUUGUUGUCAGAUACACAGCUCAUGCCUCUCGAAUGGUCACAGCAGUACCAAUACAAAUUCACUAAUCUAUGAACUAUAUGAACCUGAAGCUACAAAAGCUAAUUCUUAAACUCAUAUAAUUAUCACUACAAAACUUCAGCAGUAGUAUAUCUUGUACUUAGUGGCAUGCAAAGACAACAUAUACAAUCAUGAUCAAUUUAUGAUCAAACAUAGAUAAGCAUCACCAUUUAGGAUAAAUACCAUGAGGGUUCUAAGAUUGUAUGUUUGUUAACAAGCAAACUGCAAUAGUGAAAAAUCAAUCGCCUGCAUAGAGAUUUGUACCAGUUUAUAGCAAUUCAUUUUUAGGAUGUGAAGCGAGCUUCGUCAUUCAGAAUGUAUGAGCUCCAAAUGGUAACCUAAAUUAUUUUCCUUAAAGUGCCUUCAGAUAAUUAUAAUUGGACUUGAACUGAAGAAAGAAAGCUAAUAACCUAAAGUUUUAAAUGAAAUGCAGGAGACUUGUGAGGCCAGAAUAAAACCAAUUAUGAUUGAAAAGACAAAUACCAAGGAACAAGUACACAGUUCCAAGAUACUCACACAAAAUAGAUAAACCAAUAGAAAGAUCUUGUAAAGAAUGAGCAUGCGAGUGUCCGUGAUCAUGCUGAUGAUCAUGAUUGUCAUGCGAAUGAGAAUGCCCCCCACCUGAAAAAUGUCAAAAGAGCAGAUUAGGGGACAAUAAAGUACAUGCAGUAGAUCAACAUAUAUUAAGCACAAGCUGCAUGAAGAUACAUAUCUUUAUAUCAAGUAGAUUACGAGCAACAAAAAAAAAAAUAACGGGAAAGCAAUGAGGUAUAAUUAGUUGCCCAUCAUCCUUUCAUCCAUCCCUAUAACACUACAUCAAAGAGCAGCAGAAGCAACGAAUCUAUGCCAUGAAUGGUUAAUGUAAUACAAUAUGUUUGCUAAAUUUGAGGUAAAUUGAAAAAAAAGAAAAAAAGUCAAAGAACGCGUGAUAUAUAAAGUAACUAUGUAUCAUACCAAAUGCGUGUGGCAAUUGAUGAAGAAAAGCAUCCCCAAGCAUUGCCCCUGCCUGCAACCAAAUUGUCAAUCAAAAUGAGCGAACUAAUAAACCUCAAGCUCAUGGAUAUUUUUUAAAAAAUCGACGCAUCCAGUGUAGAAUAAUUUAAAAGCAGGCAUCACUACAAACUGAAUAGAUAUAAUUAAAUGUGCACUUACAAACUGAACCAACAAUUGAGUCAAGUAAGCAGAAAUGAUUUGGUUCAUAUUUUGGCUCAUUCUGUACUAAUUCACCUUAAAGCUAUUGGAUUUUGAUACCGAAAUUACGUUGUAAAACACUACAAGAGCAAGAUUCAAACUUGAAUUGGCCGAGGAUGAAUAAUCUUCACUAUGUAAAUUGUUUACAUCAACAAAAUUACAAAAGUGCUCUCCAGGAGUGAAAAAAAAAAAAAAAGGACUUUUAAAUUAUCUAGAAUUUCAACUGGGUACUCUUCCAAGAUAUCAACUAACACAGCAAAAGAGCUCUUCUAUAUCUAUAAUAUAACUUAAAACCCAUCCAAAGUUACUGUGGUAUUCAAUUUUCAUUAUUUUCAGCAGCUGUUCCAAAUAAUUGGCUUACCCCAAACAACGCCAAAGAAUCGACGACGCCCUUGGACGGCUUUCCCUGAACUGUAACAAAUCAAAAUUCCAAACAAUUGGAUAAUGCAUUAGCUAGAAGAAGAGGAGGAGGAAGAGGAGGAGCACAUAGAUUGAGUUAAAAUCACCUACAGAAGAUCAAAGGAAGGAGAAUGAGGCAAAUAAGCGACGCCAUGCUAACGAGAAGCGAGCACCCCAUUGCGCUUAACCAAACACCUUUAUCCCGUUCCCACCAAAAAAAAAAAAAAAAAAACCAACAAGAGCCAAUACUUCAAACCCCAAUUCCAACACAAUUAUAGAAAGAUCGCAUCUCUGACGAGGAAUUCACCUAAAGGAGAUGUCUCAGCAUCGAGAUCCCCGUGCGAGUGGUAAUGAUGAUGGUGAUGAUCGUCAUCCUGAUCGUGAUGGUGGUGAUGGUGAUUGUGCCCUAAUCCGUCGCGCAUCAGAUCCUCCUCCUCCGCGAGCUCUUCCGGAAGCUUCUGGCGCCGGAUCUCGGCAUCUUGAUCAUGGUGGUGGUGGUGGUGAUCGUCGUGGUGGUGAUGGUGAUCGAAUCCGGCGGGGGCGGAGAAGGGGCAAGCCCCCGAGUCCUCCGUGUGCGCGGCGACGACGACAGAAGCGGCGGCGGCGACGAGCAGGAGAAGGACGGGGCGGCCCCGCCGCGGCGGAGGCGAGGAGAGAGGCAUGCUUAAUGCGGUUACGGUUUAGGGUUAGGGUUAGGGUUAGGGUUAGGGUUAGGAGGAGGAGGAGCGUUUGCAAACGCCCUCGAGAGUAAUGAAGAGGACGAGGAGGAAGAGGAGGACGACGAUGCCCACGAUCACGCCGAAGGUGACCACAUCCAUCUUAAUCUCACCUCAUUUAUUAUUUAUUAUUUAUUAUUUAUUAUUAUUUUUAUAAUAAUUUACUUAUAUUUCGUUAUUAUUUAUCAUCUCUAAAAAAUUACUUAUACUUAUAUAUUUCCACAAACAAAUAUAUAAAGGAAAAAUGGCCCAAAAAUAGAUUACUAAAUUUUCCGUACGUUUUUUCUCUGUCACGCUCAGAUUUGAGAGAGAGAGAGAGAGAGAGAGAGAGAGAGAGUACUCUUGUUCGGAAACGCGAGAGAGAGAGUGAGAGAAGAUUCCUUGGAGUUCGUGAGAGUAGAUGUUGGGGUGGAGUUACCGCUCACCGGGGAGUGAGGUGAAACCCCUUCGUUAUCGGAAACGGGGACAACGAGCCCUAGUUUCUCUCCCUCUGUGUCUCGGCGGAGUACGGAGUUGGGAUCUGCUACAAGUUUGGCUGUUUAAAAAGAUACGUAUAACCCCCCAAAAAGAGGCUUAACUACACCCUCCUAAUUUAGUAUCAUAUGAUUUCAUUUUUCUCUAUUUAUUAGCUGUUUCAUUAAUAUUUCGUUAAAUUAUAUACAAAAAUUUUAAAUAUCCUAUCUAAAUUUAUCAAAUAUUCACUUUAAUACCUUUUAGUAGGAGGGGAUAAUAAAAAGAGAAAAAUAAAACCACAUCAUACUAAAUUAAUACACUUUAAAACAUAGGGUAUUAAAAUUAAAAAAAAAUACGAAAUCACACGGGUGGUAUUUAAAAUUUUUCUUUUUUUUGUUAUGUUAUAUAUACUUUUUUUUCCCCAAAGAUUAUUACUAAAUUUAUUUUCAUUUUAUUACUACUAAAUUUAUUUUCAUUUUAUUUAUUUUAUUUCUCAAAUACUAAUUACCAUCAUUUUUUAGCUGAUCUCUAUACUAUUGUGUGACAGUCAUCCAUCCUAUAACUACUCCCGCCCUAACACACUUAACUCUCUUAUCCUUUUGAAUCUAACCACCGCACAAAAUGUGUAAGUCGGAUUAAAAGCUUUAGUUCUAUUAUAUUUUAUAUAUAGGACUAACUGAGAUCCCAAAUAUUACCGAUAAAUAUGUUAUUUUGGAUGAAAAGUAACUAUGUCAAAAAAACACUGAUUAGGCAAUGAAAACAAAAGCAAAAUGAGCCUACCAAAUUGAUUCAUUAGAAGAUCUAUUAAAUUAUUUGUAACUAUUAUUAGGUACUUUUUUUUAAUUUCUAUAUCAAAAUAGGUUAAAUUUAUGGUCUGCUAUUUUCAACCAAUGUGUUUGAACAUAAUUGCUAGCUAGUGUAGAUACUAACACACAAAAAAAAGAUGGCUUAGUGAUAUUUUUGAAAAAAGUACACUCUAGGAAAUUAAAAAGAAAUUUAAAAUAUAGUAUACUGUUGUGUAAUUAAGCCUAUUAAAAACUAUAGUUAUAUUUUUUUAUGAAUUGCAUAAUUUAUUUUCCUAUAUCGCUUCUGAAACUAUUGAGUAGGUUUUUUUUUAACCCCUCCCACAUAAAUGCUUUUUAGAUGUUUGCAUCGCAUCUUGUAUCCAUUUGAUUAUAGACUUAUAGGUAAUAAACCAAAAAGAUAAAUAUGAAUAUUAUUAGACUUUCGAAGAAAUAAAUUUGAAAAUUUAAAUUCUGUAAAAUUUAUAUCUGCUAUUUGAUAUAUUUACAGGGAGUUGUAUCACAUUAACCCAUGAUUAUAAGAUGAUCAUGCAUGGGAUGCAUGGAGAAACCCGGUCCACGUGAAAGGGUCAUGAGGGACCUCGACCUCACUGCCCUUUACCUCCUCUCAUGCGCAAGAACUUAUUUAAAAACAUUUUGAAAGCUAAAAAGAGUAAAAAUUCAAAGUUUUUAUUUUUUAUUGCUAAACAAACAUCUCGGACUUAAAAAUUAUAAGUAAUCCACCCUUCUCUCCUAGGAUAGAUACAAGUUUAGAUAAAAGCAAGAAUUAGACUAAUUUUAUGUUUGAAUAAAAAUUGAGUUAUUCCUGAAAAUAAAAAAAAUAACGUUUGAUUAAGAAUUGAAUUGUUUUCUAAAAUAAAAAACAUAACAUUUGAAUAGAUAGGAUGAAAUAAAAAAAAAUAGUGGGUAGUUAUAAAUAAAAAAAAGAUGAUAAUACUCCUCUUAUUAAAUUUGAAUUUGAAAAAUUAAAUUUCAUAUUUAAAUUUUUAAAAUUUAAAAUAUAAAAUUCAAAAUUUUAAUUUUAAAUUUAAGAUCAAAACUAAAUUUACAAAAAAAUAUAAAAUAUCAAAUUUUAAAUUUAAAAAAUUUAAAAUCUAAAAUUUAAAAUUCAAAAUUUUAAAAAUUAUAAAUUUUAAUUUUAAAAUUAAAAUUAUAAAUUUUGCAAUUAAUUUAAAAUUCUCUCUCUCCUCCCCAAGCUUGUUCCUAGAACAAGCUUGUUCCACCAAAAGUGUUUUUAUUUGGAUAUAAGAAGGUGAAUAAGUACUUAUUCCCCUCCUUAUACCCCAACCAACACACUUCAGAGGCGAAAUUACAUAAAACCUCCUUGUCAAAAUUCAAUUUUUCACUUUCCCUCCUAUCAUUUAAAAACCUACCAUUUGCCUCCUUAUAAAAUGAAAAAUAUUCACUUCGCUCCCUACCGUUAGUAAUCUGUUAGGGUUCCAUUUAUAAAAUUUUAUUAUAUAUUUUUUUAUAUAAAAAAUGUCCUCAACCUUCUCUCCUGUGAACAUGAUAAAGGGCAAAAUGAUGAGGGACAAAAUGAUCAUUUUAUUAUUACAGUUCACACCGUAUCCCUCUGUAAACAUUUUUUAUUUUACAGAGGGCAAAGUGUAAGUUUUUAAAUGACGAAAAAAAAAAUGAAAAAUCGAAUUUUGACAUGAGCAUUUUUUGUAAUUUAGCCUUACUCUUUUUUAAGUUUUCACAAACUAGCUUUUUCCUACCAUAUAUAUUUGAAAUAUUAAAAGAGGAUAUAGUGUUGGCCUUUUCAACUGCUGUCACAACUAGUUGCUUAGUUAGACUUUAUACUCAGAAAAUCUAAUGUGUUUAUCUAAUGUGUUUUAAGUCCCACAUAUUAUUCCGCGUCACGGGCUAAUUCCACUGAAAAAACAUGAAAAUAACACUACACAUGAAAAGUAAUAUCCUCAUAAGAUAACAAGUACCACAUUUCAAUAAAAUCCACACAGGAAUACAAUUUAAGAAGGAAUUAUGUACAUGAAACUGUAACAAACCAACACAGUGAAGAGAUAUUAUGCUAAGGUGUCCUCAAACAACUGAAGCAAUCGCAUGAAGUAUAUUACACAAUCCAGUUAGCUCCUCCGAGUUAAAACUCCCUACGCAUACAUCUAAAUGUCAACCUACUCAAAGCACUAAUUCUCAAACCGUUAUCGACUUACGCGCUAUUAAACAAUACACAGCAAACAACUACUGUACAUCCACAGUAAACUGCGCACGCGCAACUCAACCGCCGCAACACGACCCUGACCCUGUCGGACAAAGAAAUUCGCAUUAUAUAUAAGUUUAUUAGUCACGCUACACGUAAAACACUUCAGGAUACAUUCUCAUUCUAUUCAGAUAAGGCACUCGCAAAAUAUGAAUUCUCGCAUCUAUACUCGGUGCACUUUUCCACAAGAUUGAAUCACUUUCGUGAGUAAAAUGGUUUCGAAUUAAAAAGUAUAAUAAGAGGUUUGCUUUGUAAGAAAAAUGAGCUUCGAAAUGACACAUAUGAGAUAUCAGAUAUUGGAGGUUGAGCACGGAAACAAAUAAUUUUGCAGGUGCAUCUGUGCAAUCCUCAAAAACAAGAUGGUAAGAUGGCGUACCGGCAGAUAUUUGGAUUUAGACUUGCAAUGGAGACUCUGGUUCCGAACCGCUGAUAGAUGUGAAUGUCGACAUGGAGUCCUCUUUAGGCAUAGCAACGAAGUUCAACGGCAUAGUUGAGAGCCGCCUCAUCUCCUUGCUGAAGUACCCAUUAUGUCGACCAGAGUAAGAUCGCGGUGUAAGAAGUUCAGGGGUGGCACUACCAACAGAGAGCCGACGGGGACUAGGGGUCAUGAACCCAUUCCCAUUUCCAUUCGCAUAGUAUCCAUUCGGCUUCCUAUUGAAGCUGUUGUUCUUUUUUGGGCUCGGUCUGGACCCGAACAUCGCUUCUUUCUCAGUAAGCAGCAGAGCCUGUAGCUUCUUCUGGUCCUGCCAUGGGGCAAAUGAAUAAUGAACAAAUUGAAUCCAUCAAGAGGAAAAGGUCAGAAGCAAAUAUAGUUAAAAAGAAAUGGCUACCCGAUAUCGUCUCUUCUCCUCUUCUUUUUGUUGCCGAGUAAGCUUGUACUCUUCUAGAAUAGAUACUAAGCGAACCUGGAACAAUUAUCAAGAAAAGGGGAUUAAAUAUAUUCCAUUAAAAUACAUAUAGAAAGAAGAUCAUAGGAACUGAACACACCCCAUCAUACAGGAAAGGCAUGUUUCUUUCGUCCUCCCAGGCGAAAGUCUUGCUCAUCAGGUUGUCCACCAUAGCUGAAGCAAAGUCAAAAGUCAGGGCCAGAAGUAUUUAUUUCCCAUACUAGAGGGUUUGACGCAACAAUUACCUGGGAUCUUAGUGACUGUAAUCCGUGCUCUCUCCGCCCUUUUAAGGUUAAUAUGCGUACCUCUACUAGCGCUAUACCUGUUCUCGUCCUGCAUUUCAGAAGGUGAAGAGCCAAGUAAAUCAACUUGAAGUUGGUAGAUAAUAGUGAGGUCCCUAAAAAGAGAACUUUUCCCUGCUCCUUUUCAUGAGAAAAACAAAGCACUUCAAACUGAUGAUGAUAGCAUUGGAACAUUCGUAAGGAGAAUAUAAAUUGUGAAUUUUUUUUUGUGUAUGCAUAAUUAGUAUAUAAAAUCAGAAAGAACAUGCUUACUUUGUUGUAUUCUUCAAGCCACUUUUCUUCGUCAGAAGCUGCGAGCCAUUUGUUUAUCCUAUCCAUAAUUUCUUUCCUGCCCAAGGCCUCUUCUUUUGCUUUGACUAUCUGGGCCUCAAUAUUUGCUAGAAGUUCAGAAGGAUCUACAAGACCUGACAACCAAACAUCUUGAGAAAUAAGUCGCAAGCUAGACAAAACACUCUCAGUAAAGAAGCUGAUUUCUGAAAGGAUACCGGAAUCAAUCAAUGCACUAGUUUUCUCAGGUGCGGUGCUAAUGUCAGGUUCUACAUGGGCUCUUUUGCAUAUCUCUUCAAGUUCUGACCUUCUCUUCAGAACAAGCUCUUUCAAUCUUUUGGCCUUUAGCUUUGUCAGCCUCUCGACCUCCGCUUCGGUCUGCCAAAACAGCAAAAAGAAUCUAAGUUUAUAGAAUUGGGCUAGAAUACUGUUAAUAGCACUAAGUCAUUGGUAAUAUAAGGUUUUCUCAUACAAACCAAUUUCCCCAAUGAAUUGGAAAACAACCUUAUUAUUAAGAGUAUUUUGUAAGAAACUCGGCUUUCGAAGGGUAUUACAUGCAAAUUCGGAGUUUACAGAUGCAUAUACCAAAAUAGAUGAUUUCACGGGGAUAGAUGCAAAAAGUCCAUUUACAUUAAAGUGAGCAGAGAACCAUGGAAGGCCACGAAAAGCAAACCUGAUCAAUCAUCUCUUGCGAGAGAACUCCAGAAGAUGUUAUUGUCUCUUCAGGUGAUUGAAUAAUGCUCGUUAAUCUUCCAAAACGCCUCCUCUCUUCGUCCGAAGAAUCCAUUAGUUUCCAGAGUUGGAAUAGUGAUCUGACAGUUUCUCUCAGCUAUAGCAAAAGAAUGUUUCAAGAUAUAACUACAUAUGCAGCAAUAAUAAUCUGAAGGGGUUUUGCAAAAACAAAAUCAACCAUUUUUGGAUUUUUCAAUUUUUACCCACUUCUUUUCUGUUUACUCAGUUUUUGAACAGAAAUAUUCUUUCUGUACGAAAAUGUCCCUGGCUCUCCAAGUGAUGAAAGUAGAUUUCUAUUGCAAAAUAGGCCUAAUUUGAAACUCCCAAGAAUUAUGAUUACCUUUUCUAUCCGGAGUUUUCUUUCUGCCUUUAACUUUUGGACAGCUUGAGCGAGGCCUUCCAAUGUGUUAUUACUAAUGUUUGUCGACUGCCCUGACCCAGUCUCGUGCAGACUGGGGUGCACUUCAUCAACUGUCUUCCUAAAGUCAAGUCCUAGUACGCCGCAUAGAGAAUGCACUUCAUUCACGUACUCCAGAACCUUCUGAAGGCGAUCAGACUGGAAAUAAUGGAAAGAAAAUGUCAAAAAACAUUGUUUGCCUAGAGAAGAAAAGACCAAACUUAUUAUAUGUAAAAUGCAGCUCAUGUACAUGAUAAAUUAUGUUUUAGCUUCACUACUCAAAAUAAAUAGGAACAAAUAGGAAUUUACUGGCCAGGGCAAAAAGAAAGAUUUUGACAAAACAUUAACCUUGCCGACAGAGAUCUUCUAAAGAAUAUUCACGCAUAUCAAGACAGAGAAUCGCCAGACAAAUUCAUUCCUUGUUAAUACAAGUUUUCAAAGAGUCAAAUCAAGAUACUCUGAAUUACGUGCCAAAGAAUUAAGAUAAAACAUGACCUUCCAAAACCACCAAUGCUAUUACGUUUUUAGAUCUCGAUCAAAUCAUAAUGGAGUCUGAAUAAUGGAUUGGCAGCGGAAAGGGAUUAGUUGGGCCGAGGGGAAUAUAUUAAUCGAGGCUUUAUUGUAAUGUACUAAUGGUCAUAAAAUUGUGAAAAAGAUAAACACUUCGUUCGGUUGUUGUAAUUGUUGUUGGGGGUGCUCAAUAUGCUAGAGGGUGGUUCAAUACUACGAUAAAUCUUUGGCUGGAGAAAGGAAUCCAUGCCGGUUGUUGGCAAGGUUUGGCACGUGCCAACAUAUAAAAGAGGGUGUGUGCCAAGGCAUGCUACAACGCUGUGCCUUGCGAAUCGUACACUAGCACGCUCCGUGCCAGUGCCAUGACAAUCCUUGCUUUGGAGGUUGAUCACAUGAAUAAUAACCUUGGGAUAUUUCGGAAGGAAAGAAAAGAGUAAAGCGGAUAGAACAAGUCUAAUGGCUUAUAGAAGGAGUAAGAGAAGAAAACAUAGAUGAGUCAAAUUGUGUGAGACAGAAUCUUUUUGAAAGGAAACUUAUUAUAUGAAUGCAGAUAAAUGUCAAGUUACCCUCUCUUUCUGAAGGGCACGAAAAUCUGCCUGAUACUGAUUAAGCUUCCUUAUCGACAGAUCAUUUUCAUCAACAAUAGGAAUAGUAAUAGCAUCAUUCGGAUGAUUGAAUUCUGUUAUCUCGGCACUGAUCUUCUCAAUCUGGGAUCUUAUAUCAGAAAACUGUUUAAUCCUUUCCUCUUUCUUGGCUCUUAGAUCGUUCAAUAAAGGCGCGACGGUAGCAAGUUGCUCCUUUAACGAUGCCAUCUUGCUGUCUUUCUGCGUACAGAAGUGGAAAAGAAUCAGUAAUCACAAGAUUUUGUAAUUACUACAUUAAAAAAAAAAGAAUGGAAGACACUACAUGGUUAAGUUAAUUGUGGGGUCUAAAGUACCCAUGACAAACUUUAUCGUAAUUCGUAAGUACUAUGAUAGAUGCUUAGCACCAUGAUCAAUGGGCAACACUUAAAUGUUGAAAAAAGAAUCAUUGAACCGACCGUUAUCACAAAUGUAGAUGUUACAUAUUAACAUCUCGCAACUACGAUCUAUAUGUAAGACGUGCUAGAAUUGACAGUAAAGGUAGUUAAUAAGCGGUAUCAUAACUCCACAGUAGUAUUCUGCGAGAGUUUAUGAUGCUUUCUGAUGUUUACAUAGCAUCGUGUAAUAUGGAUGGAGAUGAAACUAUCCACAAUAUCAGUCCAGUACGAUUCAGCAUGGAUUUCGCUGAUGAAACCUCCAAACUUUUUUCUCAACAUUUAAUAUCAAGAAUCAGCAGUAAACCAGAGGGAUUCGGAGGAGUAUUGAGGGGAGAAACUUAGGUGACAAUCACUAAUUGAUAUCGAUGCGCUACAUUAAACAUCAUGCAAAGUACGAAAGACGGUAAAUCAAGUUAGUGCAUACUGCUUAGAUGUAAGCAUAAACUGAUACAUAUAAUGCACUAUUCAACAACUGAGCUAAAAAAUGUACAUGUAGGCACAUAUAUCGAAGGCUACAUAAUGUACCUUCAGAUGCAGCAUGUGCUCCCCGAGGGAGGCAAGGAGAGCUGCGACCUCCGCUUCUUUAGCCGCCAGAGACUGGAGGAGCUGCGCCUUCACCCUGCUCGCGUCGUCCACUUUCUUUUGAUAUACUUUCAAGCAUUCUCUCUCGAUUUCCGACAGCAUGCGAUCCUUGUCGCCCUCGCUCUCUCCUAUCUCUGCCCAGAUAUGCUGUUUCCAAACAAUUAAGAGUACAUCAAUACAUGGUCUAUAACAGAUUUCUUAAUCAAUGGAUGUGUGAGUUUAUUCUUAUAUAAUCAAUAAUCAACAAGUAGAGACACUAAAAAUGAAAACAAAAUAAAAGAUUAAUUACUGCAAGUAUAAAAAUUAGAACAAAGUAAAAAGUAAUUGUAGUAAUUUAGACCCUACAGGAACAAAUCAUCAUGUUAGAACGUUCCUAAUUAAAAAGAAAAAUACAAAUAAAAAUAAAAGGUUUUACACAACCUAAUCAUGAUUUUUUGCUAAGUCCAUUUAAAAAGUUAAUUACCUUUCAUAUAAGUACAUUGAAAGGAAUCAAAGUACAGAAACAAAACAAUUGAGACACUUGUAAAGGAAAAGUCUCUUUGCCAAAUAGAGCAUUUAAAACAAAAACAAACAGAAAAUUAAAGAAAAGGCAAAAAAAAAGGAAAGUUUUAAACAAAUUACUUUCUUGUAAUAAAAAGUUUCAAACAAUUAAAUCUUUACUUUCUUGAGAAUAUACAUAAUUCUUGACUAAGAAAUGAAAAUCAUAAGAACUAUAUUCAUUUGAUUCAGAGUAUAAAAAUGGAAAAACAAAAAAACACUUGAGAAAUGAAAGAGGAAAACCAUUUCCUUUAAAAUUAGAGCGUUUUAAAGAAGAAAAAAAAAACCCAACAACCUAAACUAAAGAAGUCAAUAUCAGAAAGAAAGGAAAAAAAAAAAAAAAAACCAAAAACUAGUUUGCAAAAACAAGAAGAUUAUUCAAGAAAUGGGGGGGGGGAGAGAGGGAGAAAGAGAAAGAAGCAUCACAAUCUCCAAAACCAAGAAGAGUCUACAUGUACCUCAAAACCCAAAACAAAGAGAAAGGGAAACCCCCAAACAGAGUCCCUGAGAACCAAAGAAGCAAGAUAAUAGCCAUUGAGAGAGAGAGAGAGAGAGAGAGAGAGAGACCUGUAGCUCUCUGAGCAAAGCUCCACAGCUUGUAUCCAUGCCCACACUAGUGAGGCUCCCUCCCCCAACGCCAAUCCCCACCAUUUCCCAAGCCCAAAACCCCCCAAACCCCAAAACCAAGAACCUAAAAAGAGAAGAGGAGGCCAAAACACACAACAAAAGGACAAAUUUUUACAAAGCCCACGACCUAAAGAACACCAGAGGGAGAGAGAGAGAGAGAGAGAGAGAGAAAGUGAGAGAGAGCUAGGAAGAGAGAGAAAGAGGAGAAGGGAGGUGACAUAGAAGAGGAAAGUAGAGAGAGAAAAAAAGCAGCAUUUUUUUUUUGAGCUCCUCCUCCUCCUCCUCCUCCUCCUCCUGUCUCUUGGGAUAGAAAGGGGGACAAAAAUGGGAGCUUUUUAGAGGAAUCGGAAUGAGAUAUGCAAACCCAAUAAAGCAAAGAUUAGGUACUCUUAAUUGUAAGCUGGGGAAAAGAGAAACGCUGGUGUAGUGAGCGAGAAAGGUUAGAGAAGAGGAAGAGUCAAAGAAGGGAGCUUUUUUAUUUAUAUAUGUACAUAUAAAUUUCUUGAUCUUUUUCUUCUGGGGGGUGAGGAGAAAAGAAAGGAAAGUUAAGAAAGGGACUGAGGUGGGCUUUUUGGUGGGUAGAGAGAAAAGAGGAGGGAGGGGGUGCUGAGGAGAAAACAGCAGUCAAUAGGCUUUUAGCAGUCUGCUGUUGCAAAAGGUGAAUGGGCAAAAGAAUCACUGACAGGUGCUGGGGCUCCCCCUGCAGGUUUGUAGUGUUCUGCUGCUGCUGCCCUGAAGGCUCAAGCUUUUGCAGUUGAGAUUUCCUGGAAAUACUGCCUUUUCUUUUUUCAGAUAGAAAUGCCAGCAGGCAUGGAAAUUAAAUACAUAUUUUUCAUUAAAUUAGGAAUGAGUACUGCUGUGUUUUCUCACAAUAUUAUCCCCAUAUCAAUAAUAUAUAAAGAUAAUUUUGUAGAGAUCUAAAUCAUCUCCCUAAUAAUUUAAAAAUAUUAUUAUAGCAGCUCCUUUGGUAAAAUUUACUUUAAAGAAUAAAAUAAGAAAGAUUGUUUAAAAUAUAAAAAUAUUUAGGCGAUUUAUUCUCUCCACAGAUCCUUUGGCUAGAAAAAUAUCAGAGAAAGAAAGUCGAGAUUUUUUAAAUUCAUAUCUAAAUUCAAAAAAUUAAGUACUUUCAUGUGCCAGAGAACUAGAAUGAACAGCAAACAUUCUAAGAGAGUACUUCUCGCAAUACUGAAAAUUUUUGUGUAUUAUUUGAUUGAGAUAUCCGUCAAACUAAGGGAUCAAUUGUUAGUCCUAUAUCUUACUUUUCAUCUGAUUACCAUAUGUAAUUGUCGAAAAAUUUGGAUUCUGACUUUUGAACGAUCUGCCUGAUUGACUGACUGUGUUCAAUUCGUGUUCUAUUUAUGAUAAAAGUUGAACUAAAGUGAUUAAUUUUCUUAGUCGGUAAAAUUCAUAAUCUUAGAAUUUACAUAAAUUUUUUUUACGAUUCAUUGAUAAAAAAACCUAAUCUCAAAAUUCUUUUCUUAUCAGAAAAUAAAUGUCACAUCAAAUAAAUAGGAACCUGUCCCAUAUCUUGUUGGUGGAGGGUUAAUUUGCAAAAGUACAAUUUCCAAUAUUUGGCCCCGGAAUAUACGGGUUCUAAUUGUCGACGAAUUUAUGCGUAAGAUGGCCUAAGCCACACGGGUUAAUUCAAUCGUUAGAUUUUGACAGAAUUCGGACGGUGCGGAUUCAUUAUAUUAAAAAUUAACGGCUGAACGAACUCCAUGCGUAAAAAAUUCUACGCACAAAAUUAUCGAAAAUUUACUUCCAAAUAUGUGACCAUGAACUAUGCAUUGCCUAUUUAUUGCAUACAGUUCCUAAAUAAUCGUUACUCUUUGCUCUAUUUUUUUGUUUAUUUUAUAACUUUUAAUUAAAUGUUGGUCUAUUUUUGAAGGAGCAAUACAAUAUUGGCACUCUAUUAGCAAUGACCAAUCAUAAUCAAUUAUUUAGAAAUGCCACUAAUGGUAGUUAAGAAUGAGAUAUCAUAUUAGAGAAGAGAUGCUUUAAAUUCAUAUAUUUCAUUUUCCAUAUCCUGUUUUAUAUCCUAGUGUCGUCACUUGUUGAAUAAAAUAUUAAUGUCCUUUUCAUUAAUAUUUAAAUUUUUAAAAUAAAUAAUUAGUUUAUUUAAUAUUAAAAUAUUUUCUAUAUUUGCCAACACAAUAAUAAUGUAUAGGUGGCAUUUCUUUCUUGAUUCAGUUCAUAUAUACAAUUCAAGAUUCCAUGCGUGUUCAUCAGCAUAUAUAUUAAUACCUAAUAGAAUAUUUUUUUAAUGAGAACUAACAUUACUUUUGUUAGUAAAAAAAAAAAAAAAUCAAAUUAUGGAAAGAAAAUAUUUUAGUUUUUGUGACUUUACUGUUAUGAAUUGUUGAUAUAUUGAUAAAAUUUUUAACUAUGUGUCUGAAGCGAUCGAAAUUCUUUACGGUAUCGUUUGGUUUGGUUCGGGAAUAAACAAAAAGUGACUAUUCCAGAAAUAGGUAUAUAUUGAGGUAUAAGCGAGGAUUAGAUUAAUUCUGCGUUUGGAUGAAAAUUGGGUUAUUCCUGGGAAUAAAAAAAAUAGCGUUUAGUUAGCUAAGAUGGAAUAAGAAGGAUAGUGAGUUUUAUAAAUAAAAAAGUAAUGAUAUUAUUCUCUUAUUAUAUUUGAAUUUGAAUUUUUAAAAUUUUAAAUUUAUAUUUUUAAAUUUAAAAUUUUAACUUUGAAAUUUUAAAAUUUGAAAUUUAAAAUCUCAAAUUUUAAAUUCAAAAUUUUAAAUUUUAAAUUUCAAACUUUAAAUUUAAGAUCAAAUUUAAAUUUGAAAAAUAUAAACUCAUCAAAUUUUAAAUUUCAAAAAUUUAAAAUAUCAAAUUUAAAUUAUAAACUUUAAUUUUGAGAUUAUAAAUUAUAAAUUAUAAAAUUUUUAAUUUUUAUUUUUAAAUUUUAAAAUAAGAAUAAGGGUGGGAACAAUUAAUAAAAUAAUUAUUAUAAAUUUAUUAUAAUAUUUAAAUAUAAAUAAUAUGUAUUAAUAUAUAGUAAAUUAAUAAUUUUAUAUAAAAUAAUGUAUUAUAAUAUAUCACUAUUAUAUUUUAUAAUUUAGUUUUAAUUCAAUUUAUAAUUUUAAUUAAGUUUGAAAUUAAGAAUUGGAAUAGCACUAUUCACCAAAAUGGUGGAAUAGCAAACCCUUGCUAUUCGGAAUUACUGGGAAUAGCAAAUUUGACUAGAAUAAAAUAUCUCGCAAAUUUAUUCGUUUAGCGGAAUAGCGGGAAUAACUUUCGUUAUCCUAUUUAUCCACACCAAACGGGCCGUAUACACACACACACACACACACUACACACACACAUAUAUAUAUAUAUAUAUGUGUGUGUGUGUGUGUGUGUAUACGGCCCGUUUGGUUGGGGGAUAAAUAGGGAUAACGAAAGUUAUUCCCGCUAUUCCGCUAAACGGAAUGAAAUUUGGCGGAGAUAUUUUAUUCUAGUCAAAUUUUGCUAUUCCCAGUAAUAUGUGUGUGUAUAUAUGUGUGUGUGUGUGUGUGUGUGUGUGUGUGUGUGUGUGUGUGUUUGUUAAAGAAAAAAAUAUUAUUCAAAACCAGUGGCGGUGCUCAGGUAGGAAUUAAAAAAAACUUGGACUUAAACAACUUAUUUUGGGGGCAACCAAAAUCCUUUAAGUAACGCACGUCCAACUGGGGACAUAUUUUUGAGUAUGUUUAUUUCACCGAAUGUUAAAAAAAGAUGUGGUUGUUUUUAGUAUAAAUGCUCAUCGUUGUUUAGUUCAAUAAAAAUUUGUAACUCUAUUUUUUCAAAAUACUAUAAUUGAUUUUGUUUUUUGUUUUUUGUUGCAGUAAAGUCAAUUAUGAGAAAGAAAGAGAUAGAAAAAAAGAAUUAGAAAUUAACUGGUGUAAAUUUUGUUACACCCACUUAUGUGCUAGUGUAAAAAUUUAGUAAAAUAGAAACAAAGUUGGGAUCACUUGAGUUCUAAAGUUAUUAGCUUUCUAUCAAAUAAAUUGUAACUUUUUAUCUAAAUUUUAAUUGAACUAAAGAUUAUUUUCAACAUAAAACCUAGUGACAGACAAAUAAACAGAUACUUAUUGUGUUUAUUCUAUUUAUAAAAUUAGAAACUACAAACUUUUCUCAUGCCCUGUUUGAAAAAAUGUGAAUCUAAUUCAGAGUUAUUUUUCUCAAUAGUAUUAUACUUACUUAAACAACAUUAUCUUAUUUGAAAAAAAUUCAUAGAAUGGGCAUUUUUUUUUUUGUUUUACCCCAAAAUUACAUAGAAAUAAAAUUAUUUUGUUAUAUUUUGUAAUAUUACAAAAGCCAACCAAAUAAUUCUACGAUAAAAAUACAAUACUAGUCAAAAUACUCUGAUUUUAAUAAAUCCCUCACUUUUUAAGGUUUCCAAACAAAACCUUAUUGUGCUUGUGUAAAAUGCACUUUAUAACUUCAUUAUGACAAAAAAAUAUCCUAACCCAUAAAUAUUAUCUUACUUAUGUUGUACAAAAACUUGUACCACUCUAAAGAGUGUAGUUUUGCUUUUGCAAUAACAACAAGAAAGCUACCUAACAAUGAUUAUUUGGGAUUUCUCUUUUUUUGUACCAACCAAAGCAUUUAAUAAGAGAACAUAUUCUCCAAACAACCAUUAGAGCUCACCAAAUGCUAUUCCAACCAAAGCAUUAAUAAGAGAACAUAUUCUUCAAACAACCAUUAGAGCUCACCAAAUGCUAUUCAAAAACUAGAAUUUGUAAACUCAACAGUUCACACCAAAUUUUGGUAGAGAUAUGGAAACACACAGACAUUUAGCUAGCAUUUGUCUCCCAAUAAAAAACUCAAAAUAAUUUAGCAAAUAGAUGUUUAUAAAUGGAAAAACAUGUGGAGAGACUCUCUGAACUUCAUUAAUUUUGCAAAUAACUGCAUACACUUUUAAUUUUGACAAUAAAGCACUCCUAACUUAAUCAAAUAGUAUAUUUAAUAGCUAUUUUGAUUCUGUAUCUUACAUAUGAUAUGAGUUGUAUAACUUUUAAAAUACAAAAAAGAAAUCUUUUUUUUUCUUUUAUUAUUGUGAUAACUAAAUUUAAGAUAUGAAGGAUAAUGUGAAUCCAUUUUUAACUUUAUUACUUUUUUACCGACCAUCUCUAGCACAAGUGGCAAAGUGUUUGAUGAUUGGUAUCCGAUGUUCCGAAUUUAAAUCCUAAUUGAUUUACAUUCCAGUUAAAUUUAUUUCUAAAAAAAUAAACAAAGCGGGCAGCAUGAUGCCUUUCUCUAAAAAAAAAAAAAACUUUAUUGCUUUUUUCAUAUGUUAAAAUAAAAAAAAAUUUUAUAUAUAUAUAUAUAUAUAGAGAGAGAGAGAGAGAGAGAGAGAGAGAGAGAGAGAGUUCGGCUGGGAUGUUAUCGAUAGCACGAAAUAUUUGGUGCUAUCAGGUUUUCUGCCGUUAGAUUUACCUCUUUUAUUAUUUUUAUCCGUUUGAUUAUAAUAUUCAACUAACCACCCACUCAACCCUAGGAAACCCACAUCAUCCUAACCGCACAUUUUUUAAUCUAAGUAUAGAAACUUAAUAGCACCAAGUCAUUGGUACUAUUAAUAGUAUUCCAGCCUAGUUAUAUAUAUAUAUAUAGAGAGUAGGGCUGCUUUGCUCUCAGGAACACGGAGGCCUCCGUGCUCCUGAGCCAUUUUCGAUUAUGAAAUUUCCGAAUCGACGAUCGGCUCCGUUAGACUUGAUCUAGCAUAUUUGAAGUUUCUAGAAAAUAAUUUUUGCGAUUUUUGAUAUCAUUUACCUAGCAAUCGAAAGGAUUCAAAAUCAAUAAUUUUUAACGGCUGAAAAUAAAAAUCCUAUAAUAAGUGGUGAUAUAGUACUAAAAUUUUCGAUCAGAAAUGUUGAUCUUGUUGUAGAUAGUAUAAAGAAUUUUGUAUCAAAAUUUCAUCUGAUUUGAAUACUUCUAUACCGUUAAAUUUGAAAACAGCAGAUAUCAAAAUUUCAUUUGAUUUUAAAUCCUUUCGAUCACUAGGUAAAUGAUAUCAAAAAAUCGCAAAAAUUAUUUUCUAAAAACUUCAAAUACCCUAGAUCAAGUCUAACGGAGCCGAUCGUCAAUUCGAAAAUUCCAUCAUCGAAAAUGGCUCAGGAGCACGAAGGCCUCCGUGCUCUUGAGAGCACAGCAGCCCUACUAUAUAUAUAUAUAUAUAUAUAUAGAGUUGAGCUAGAAUACUAUCGGUAGUAAACGAGCCGUUUUACUAUCGAUUUGUUUUCGAUGAUAGAGCUUCCAAAUUGACGAUCG